UACGGGGGGGGCAAGCGUUGUUCGGAAUUAUUGGGCGUAAAGCGCGUGUAGGCGGCCAGGCAAGUUGGGUGUGAAAGCCCUCGGCUUAACCGAGGAAGUGCGCCCAAAACUACUUGGCUUGAGUACCGGAGAGGAUGGUGGAAUUCCCGGUGUAGAGGUGAAAUUCGUAGAUAUCGGGAGGAACACCAGCGGCGAAGGCGACCAUCUGGACGGAUACUGACGCUGAGACGCGAAAGCGUGGGGAGCAAACAGG
Molecule: ribosomal RNA, 253 nt
Filed under: uncultured bacterium
Lineage: Bacteria
Description: partial 16S ribosomal RNA
Rfam family: Bacterial small subunit ribosomal RNA
Source: RNAcentral